AGCAGCCGCGGUAAUUCCAGCUCCAAUAGCGUAUAUUAAAGUUGCUGCAGUUAAAAAAGCUCGUAGUUGAAUUUCGGGACCAUCACGUCGGUCGUGCCUCGGCACGUACUGGCGUCGUUGGUUUCUCCCUUCUGACGAACCAUGAUGUCAUUUAUUUGGUGUCGUGGGGAAUCAGGACUGUUACUUUGAAAAAAUUAGAGUGUUUAAAGCAGGCUCACGCUUGAAUACAUUAGCAUGGAAUAAUGAAAUAGGACGUUGAUCCUAUUUUGUUGGUUUCUAGGAUUGACGUAAUGAUUAAUAGGGAUAGUUGGGGGCAUUAGUAUUCAAUUGUCAGAGGUGAAAUUCUUGGAUUUAUUGAAGACUAACUACUGCGAAAGCAUUUGCCAAGGAUGUUUUCAUUAAUCAAGAACGAAAGUUAGGGGAUCGAAGACGAUCAGAUACCGUCGUAGU
RNAcentral lists this ribosomal RNA (450 nucleotides) under uncultured Glomeromycotina. RNAcentral's name for it is "SSU rRNA". It matches the Rfam family "Eukaryotic small subunit ribosomal RNA", at positions 569 to 1024 of the family's 1831-position model. The record is from RNAcentral. Lineage: Eukaryota; Fungi; Glomeromycota.